ACAUACGAUACAAAGAAGUAUUGACACUUUGACCUGAUGUCUGUUGAAGAAACUCAGUGUCUGAGC
This is a small nucleolar RNA of Peromyscus maniculatus bairdii (prairie deer mouse), 66 nucleotides long. RefSeq annotates it as small nucleolar RNA SNORD37. NCBI's taxonomy places the organism in Eukaryota, Metazoa, Chordata, Mammalia, Rodentia, Cricetidae. The record is from RefSeq and is a predicted model, not a curated record.